RNAcentral lists this unclassified non-coding RNA (2570 nucleotides) under Zea mays. RNAcentral's name for it is "misc RNA Zm00001eb427280". The record is from RNAcentral. Lineage: Eukaryota; Viridiplantae; Streptophyta; Magnoliopsida; Poales; Poaceae.
AUCUUAUUCACCUUCCGCCGGAGAGGCCGGACACGGAAGAAGAGAAGCCGCCGGAGACAGGGCUGACGCUCGACGUGACCGUGGACGGGAACGACACGUUGGCGAAGGAGUCGAACCCGUCGUUCUGCAUCAGCGCCAGCAUGCUGUAGCUGACGUACGAGGGCGCCACAUCGGGCAUCGGGGCGUCGCCCUCCAGGUACUGCACGACCUGGCGCAUGCCCGGCCGCGCCUCGGGCGAGGGGUGCGCGCACAUGAGCCCCAGCUUGACGGCCAGCCGGGCCUCGUCGGCGUCGUACUUGCCGCACAGCCGCGCGUCCAGCGUGUCGAGGGCGGCCCCCCUGCGCUGGUGCUCCUGCACCCAGUCCAGCAGCACGGUCUGGUCGACACCGGGCGCGACGCGCCCGAGCGGGCGGCGGCCGCAAGCCACCUCCAGCACGAACACGCCGAAGGCGAACACGUCCGUGGCCGGGGUCGCCCUCCCCGUGCGCACCAGCUCCGGGGCGAGGUAGCCCAUGGUGCCCACCACGUGCGUCGUCUGCGGGUCCACGCCGUGGUCGUACAGCCGCGCCAGGCCGAAGUCGCCCAGCCUGCCGUUCAUGUCGCCGUCCAGGAGCACAUUGCUGGCCUUGACGUCCCGGUGGAUCACCACCUUCUCCCAGUCCUCGUGCAGGUACAGCAGGCCGGCGGCGACGCCCCUGACGAUCUGGAACCUCUGCCCCCAGUCCAGGACGGGCCUGGCGGUCCUGUCGUCGUAGAGGUACUUGUCCAGGCUGCCGUUGGACAUGUAGUCGUACACCAGCAGCAGCUCGCCCUUCCGCCGGCAAUAGCCCAGCAGCUGCACCAGGUUCCGGUGGCGGAGGUGGCCGAUGCUCACCACCUCCGCGAUGAACUCCUUCAUCCCCUGCUUCGAGUCGUGCGACACCCUCUUCACGGCGACCUCGAGCUUGGACCCGGAGAGCACGCCCUUGUACACCCUCCCGAAGCCGCCGGUGCCGAGCAGCAUCUUGUUCUUGAACCCCUUGGUCGCCUGGUAGAGCUCCUUGUACGAGAAGCGGUGGGGGCCGAACUCCGCCUCCCAGUCCUCGCGCACCUCGGCGUACCUCACCCGCCGCCGCACGAACAGGAAGGCGCCCACGACCAGCGCGAGGACGAGCGCCGCGGUGGCGACCGGGAGCACGGUCUCCAGCACCUUGGACCGGGGCUUGGGCCCGAACCGCGGCAGCGCGGGAAGCCUGGAGAUGUCCAGCGGCGGGGCCGCGGCGCCCGUGGCGAAGCUCCAGCCCAGGACGUAGUGGCGCGUGUAGAUGACGCCCGUGGCCGCCGAGAAGCCGACGUAGGCGGUGCCGUCGUCCGCGCCGACCGCCGAGAGGUUGAGCGGCGUGGAGAUGAGCGGCUUCCGCGGCCUGGGCACGCCGGCGGGCGCCAUGGCCACGUCCAGCCGCGCGGCGGCGCCGUCGUAGUCGACCCAGACCUGCAUGGGCCGGCGGCUGAUGAGGCUGAGGUUGGUGAACGCCCCCGUGGCGUCGUCGUAGUAGCCGGCGCUGUGGUUCCGCAGCGACCUCAUGCUGUUGACGUUGACGCCGACGUGGUUGCUGUUCAUGUCCUGGAACUCCGGGUUGAGCAUGGUGUCCAGCUCGACGAAGAAGACGCGGUUGCCGUCCCUGCCGUUGUCGGUGACGUUGAGGACGCCCAGGUACUGCCCCGCGUUGAAGGCGGAGAGCCUGGUGCUCGGCGCGACCACCAGCGCCAUGCCGUUGUCGCUGAGCACGGUGUAGUUGGACACGAUGGCGAAGACGAAGGCCGCCGAGAAGGACCUGGCGGCGGCGGCGGCGCCGUCACGCAGGCGGAACGGCGCCGGGUGGAACGCGUGGCCGGCCAUCUGGCUGGUGCCGUUGCUGAGCGCCAGCAGGCCGUUCGGCGCCACCGCGGCCAUGCCGUCGAGCAACAGGUCGCUGCCUCCGAAGCCGUUGUAGGUGAACUCGUCGGCGGCGGCGAGCGCGACCGCGUGGAGGAGGAGGAGGAGGAGCGGACGGGGGCAACCCAUCGCGUUUCGCGUCCAGUAGCCGCAACCGCAACGCUCCCAACACAGGAUCCGGACAGGGGCAACUGGACUGGACUGAACACUGAAGUACAGCGUGAGGUCUGAAGUCUGAACGACCCGAUGCUUUGAGUUUGUCUUUGACCCCGACGGCGACUUGCUGUUCAAAGCCGCCGCCCAAGAUCACAAGAAUUCAAUAGGGCCGGACCCGUCGCUAUGCCAACCGCGUCCCAUUGAAUUUCCAGUGCACUACUGAUCGAAGUCAAGGAAAUACCGAUAGAAUAUCCUAGCAGCAGCCAGCGAUGACAGGAGUGGGUGGUAAGGUAACUACUAGUUUUGAGAGUAAUCAAGUUGGCUUGGUGUCGUCAGGCGGGCUGCCCCCUUUUGACUCUAGGCCGCCGCCUUUUCAUACACUUUCCGUGGGCAGGUUGUUUAAAGUUGGUAUCGAGCAAUAUUUUAUUUGUGACACUGCGUAGGACCAGACUUGAGAUUUAGAUAGACUUAAGAUUUGGAUAGAGAUGAAAACGGUCGU